GGAAGUUUGUAUCCUGGCGUCAGGAUGAACGCUGGCGGCGUGCUUAACACAUGCAAGUCGAGCGAAGCAGUUAAGAAGAUUCUUCGGAUGAUUCUUAACUGACUGAGCGGCGGACGGGUGAGUAACGCGUGGGUGACCUGCCCCAUACCGGGGGAUAACAGCUGGAAACGGCUGCUAAUACCGCAUAAGCGCACAGAGCUGCAUGGCUCGGUGUGAAAAACUCCGGUGGUAUGGGAUGGGCCCGCGUCUGAUUAGGCAGUUGGCGGGGUAACGGCCCACCAAACCGACGAUCAGUAGCCGGCCUGAGAGGGCGAUCGGCCACAUUGGGACUGAGACACGGCCCAAACUCCUACGGGAGGCAGCAGUGGGGAAUAUUGCACAAUGGGGGAAACCCUGAUGCAGCGACGCCGCGUGAGCGAAGAAGUAUUUCGGUAUGUAAAGCUCUAUCAGCAGGGAAGAUAAUGACGGUACCUGACUAAGAAGCCCCGGCGAACUACGUG
Molecule: ribosomal RNA, 500 nt
Filed under: uncultured Lachnospiraceae bacterium
Lineage: Bacteria; Bacillati; Bacillota; Clostridia; Lachnospirales; Lachnospiraceae
Description: bacterial SSU rRNA
Rfam family: Bacterial small subunit ribosomal RNA
Source: RNAcentral